This 278-nucleotide unclassified non-coding RNA is filed under the name Glomus sp. RNAcentral's name for it is "partial contains 5.8S ribosomal RNA and internal transcribed spacer 2". The stretch from base 1 to 65 matches the Rfam family "5.8S ribosomal RNA", at positions 84 to 154 of the family's 154-position model. The record is from RNAcentral. Lineage: Eukaryota; Fungi; Glomeromycota; Glomeromycetes; Glomerales; Glomeraceae.
GUGAAUCAUCAAAUCUUUGAACGCAGAUUGCACUCUCCUCGGAGAGUGUGCCUGUUUGAGUGUCAGCCUAUAAAAAAUCGACAUCGUUGUUGUUUCGCGGUGGCGUUCGUCGGAAAUUGGGUCAUCUUAAAUCCUUUUGGUUUUUAAGCGACUUAAAAUUUUAUUUUUGGUUCCAUGAACGUUUCUAAGAUUUAUGUCUUUACACGAUUAAGGUAUCGAUUUUUAUUAGACGUGACCAUCAUAUCGGACCGCGUCAAUAAUCUUUACUUAACUGACCU